This is a long non-coding RNA of Erinaceus europaeus (western European hedgehog), 592 nucleotides long. RefSeq lists it as uncharacterized. NCBI's taxonomy places the organism in Eukaryota, Metazoa, Chordata, Mammalia, Eulipotyphla, Erinaceidae. The transcript has 3 exons. The record is from RefSeq and is a predicted model, not a curated record.
AGGAGCCCUGCUGGGUUAUGUCGCCGCCUUGUGGAUGCGGAGCAGAAUGCAUCUUAUGGGAGACUGGACCCAACCAAAGCGCUCCUGAAUGUCUCCCAAUAUUGUUUUCACUUUCUGUUCAUCACACAGAGCCAGGGAGAAACACACACAGAGAGACACCAGAACACUAUCUGGUUCAAGCUAAUGGUGGUGCCGGGGAUUGAAACUGGGUUCUUGAAGCCACAGGCAUGAAAGUCUUUGGCAGAACCCCUAAGAUAGCUCCUAAGCACAAGAUCCAGGAAGAAAAACACACAGAGAAGCACCAGAACACUGUCAGCUCAAGUCAAAGGUGGUGCUGGGGACUGAAACUGGUUCCUUGAAGCCAUGGGCAUGAAAGACUUUGCCAGAACUCCUAAGAUAGAUCCUAAGCACAAGCCACCAGGUUCCAGAUGCCAUCAGGAUGCCGGCCAGGCUUCCCUGGACUGAAGACCCCACCAAUGUGUCCUGGAGCUCCGCUUCCCCAGAGCCCCACCCUACUAGGGAAAGAGAGAGGCAGACUGGGAGUAUGGACCGACCAGUCAACGCCCAUGUUCAGCAGGGAAGCAAUUACAGA